UACAGAGGUCCCAAGCGUUGUUCGGAUUCACUGGGCGUAAAGGGUGCGUAGGCGGUCGGGUAAGUCUGACGUGAAAUCUCCGGGCCUAACCCGGGAACUGCGUCGGAUACUAUCCGGCUAGAGGAUUGGAUGGGAGACUGGAAUACCUGGUGUAGCAGUGAAAUGCGUAGAUAUCAAGUGGAACACCAGUGGCGAAGGCGAGUCUCUGGACAAUUCCUGACGCUGAGGCACGAAAGCCAGGGGAGCAAACGGG
Molecule: ribosomal RNA, 253 nt
Filed under: uncultured bacterium
Lineage: Bacteria
Description: partial 16S ribosomal RNA
Rfam family: Bacterial small subunit ribosomal RNA
Source: RNAcentral